This 253-nucleotide ribosomal RNA is filed under the name uncultured bacterium. RNAcentral's name for it is "partial 16S ribosomal RNA". It matches the Rfam family "Bacterial small subunit ribosomal RNA", at positions 524 to 776 of the family's 1533-position model. The record is from RNAcentral.
UACAGAGGCCUCGAGCGUUAGGCGGAAUCACUGGGCUUAAAGCGUGUGUAGGCGGCCUUCUAAGUACCUUGUGAAAUCCCACGGCUCACCCGUGGAACUGCUCGGUAUACUGGUCGUCUUGAGCCUUCUAGGGGCGAGUGGAACAAAUGGUGGAGCGGUGAAAUGCGUAGAUAUCAUUUGGAACGCCAAUGGUGAAAACAACUCGCUGGGGAAGUGCUGACGCUGAGACACGAAAGCCAGGGGAGCGAACGGG